RNAcentral lists this ribosomal RNA (292 nucleotides) under uncultured bacterium. Its description in RNAcentral is "partial 16S ribosomal RNA". It matches the Rfam family "Bacterial small subunit ribosomal RNA", at positions 505 to 796 of the family's 1533-position model. The record is from RNAcentral.
GUGUCAGCAGCCGCGGUAAGACAGAGGAGCCAAGCGUUGUCCGGACUGACUGGGCGUAAAGCGCCCGCAGGCGGCCGUGCACGUGGGGUGUGAAAGCCCUCUGCUCAACGGAGGGAGGCCAUCCCAUACGGCGCGGCUCGAGCCGUCCAGAGGCCGGUGGAAUUGCCGGUGUAGUGGUGAAAUGCGUAGAGAUCGGCAGGAACACCCAGGGGGAAACCAGCCGGCUGGGGACGGGCUGACGCUCAGGGGCGAAAGCGUGGGGAGCGAACCGGAUUAGAAACCCCUGUAGUCC